CCUACGGGGGGCUGCAGUAGGGAAUCUUCCACAAUGGACGAAAGUCUGAUGGAGCAACGCCGCGUGUAUGAUGAAGGGUUUCGGCUCGUAAAACACUGUUGUAAGAGAAGAAUGACAUUGAGAGUAACUGUUCAGUGUGUGACGGUAUCUUACCAGAAAGGAACGGCUAAAUACGUGCCAGCAGCCGCGGUAAUACGUAUGUUCCAAGCGUUAUCCGGAUUUCUUGGGCGUAAAGCGAGCGCAGACGGUUGUUGAAGAUCGAAGUGAGAGCCCAGGGCUUAUACGUGGAAGUGCCUUGGAAACUGGAUAAGUGGAGUGCAGUCGAGGAGAGUGGAGCUCCAUGUGUAGCGGUGAAAUGCGUAGAUAUAUGGAAGGACACCAGUGGCGAAGACGGCUCUCUGGACUGUAACUGACGUUGAGGCUCGAAAGUGUGGGUAGCAAACAGGAUUAGAUACCCGUGUAGUC
This 465-nucleotide ribosomal RNA is filed under the name uncultured Weissella sp. RNAcentral's name for it is "bacterial SSU rRNA". It matches the Rfam family "Bacterial small subunit ribosomal RNA", at positions 338 to 795 of the family's 1533-position model. The record is from RNAcentral. Lineage: Bacteria; Bacillati; Bacillota; Bacilli; Lactobacillales; Lactobacillaceae.